GAGAGACCCGAGGCGGGGCCGGUCCGAGUAUCAGGUGAACUGAACUUCAGGGCAGGUGAUAGCAUGCAGGUGAUCUAUUGGACUUUUUCACUGAAAACCCACCUGCUGUGGCUGGAAGCAACCUGGAUGAAAUGAUACCAAAGCUAAAUAUAGAAAUGCAGUAAAUGGAGCAGUAUCCAGGCAACCACAAGUGGGUUAAUCCUCACCUAUUCCAGGAACUCACCUGGUACAGAAAUAAUAACUGAGGAGGUGGGUGGAGGAGAUCUGGGUGUCUCUUCAUAGCGGUCAUGGUCCGUGAGAGUUCCUGGGAGUUUCCAUCUGUGGCUGCUGGUCCCUUUGGGGUGGAGCCUUCCACAUCUCACCUGGACCGUGUUUGCAUGCAGUCAGCAGGAGGGCUCUUAAACCCUGAGCAGUCUACUAUGCCUCGCCAACUCAUUGUGUGCCCUCUGGUG
Oreochromis aureus is the source of this 452-nucleotide long non-coding RNA. NCBI's taxonomy places the organism in Eukaryota, Metazoa, Chordata, Actinopteri, Cichliformes, Cichlidae. The record is from Ensembl.